RNAcentral lists this ribosomal RNA (1343 nucleotides) under uncultured bacterium. RNAcentral's name for it is "16S ribosomal RNA". It matches the Rfam family "Bacterial small subunit ribosomal RNA", at positions 28 to 1378 of the family's 1533-position model. The record is from RNAcentral.
GACGAACGCUGGCGGCGUGCUUAACACAUGCAAGUCGAACGGAAAGGCCCUGCUUUUGUGGGGUGCUCGAGUGGCGAACGGGUGAGUAACACGUGAGUAACCUGCCCUUGACUUUGGGAUAACUUCAGGAAACUGGGGCUAAUACCGGAUAGGAGCUCCUGCUGCAUGGCGGGGGUUGGAAAGUUUCGGCGGUUGGGGAUGGACUCGCGGCUUAUCAGCUUGUUGGUGGGGUAGUGGCUUACCAAGGCUUUGACGGGUAGCCGGCCUGAGAGGGUGACCGGCCACAUUGGGACUGAGAUACGGCCCAGACUCCUACGGGAGGCAGCAGUGGGGAAUAUUGCACAAUGGGCGGAAGCCUGAUGCAGCAACGCCGCGUGCGGGAUGACGGCCUUCGGGUUGUAAACCGCUUUCGCCUGUGACGAAGCGUGAGUGACGGUAAUGGGUAAAGAAGCACCGGCUAACUACGUGCCAGCAGCCGCGGUGAUACGUAGGGUGCGAGCGUUGUCCGGAUUUAUUGGGCGUAAAGGGCUCGUAGGUGGUUGAUCGCGUCGGAAGUGUAAUCUUGGGGCUUAACCCUGAGCGUGCUUUCGAUACGGGUUGACUUGAGGAAGGUAGGGGAGAAUGGAAUUCCUGGUGGAGCGGUGGAAUGCGCAGAUAUCAGGAGGAACACCAGUGGCGAAGGCGGUCCUCUGGGCCUUUCCUGACGCUGAGGAGCGAAAGCGUGGGGAGCGAACAGGCUUAGAUACCCUGGUAGUCCACGCUGUAAACGGUGGGUACUAGGUGUGGGGUCCAUUCCACGGGUUCCGUGCCGUAGCUAACGCUUUAAGUACCCCGCCUGGGGAGUACGGCCGCAAGGCUAAAACUCAAAGGAAUUGACGGGGCCCCGCACAAGCGGCGGAGCAUGCGGAUUAAUUCGAUGCAACGCGUAGAACCUUACCUGGGUUUGACAUGGAUCGGGAGCGCUCAGAGAUGGGUGUGCCUCUUUUGGGGUCGGUUCACAGGUGGUGCAUGCCUGUCGUCAGCUCGUGUCGUGAGAUGUUGGGUUAAGUCCCGCAACGAGCGCAACCCUUGUUCACUGUUGCCAGCACGUUAUGGUGGGGACUCAGUGGAGACCGCCGGGGUCAACUCGGAGGAAGGUGGGGAUGACGUCAAGUCCUCAUGCCCCUUAUGUCCAGGGCUUCACGCAUGCUACAAUGGCUGGUACAGAGAGUGGCGAGCCUGUGAGGGUGAGCGAAUCUCGGAAAGCCGGUCUCAGUUCGGAUUGGGGUCUGCAACUCGACCUCAUGAAGUCGGAGUCGCUAGUAAUCGCAGAUCAGCAACGCUGCGGUGAAUACGUUCCCGGG